This 287-nucleotide ribosomal RNA is filed under the name uncultured fungus. RNAcentral describes it as "partial 18S ribosomal RNA". It matches the Rfam family "Eukaryotic small subunit ribosomal RNA", at positions 1425 to 1710 of the family's 1831-position model. Lineage: Eukaryota; Fungi. The record is from RNAcentral.
GGUGCUUUAACCGAUGGAAGUUCGAGGCAAUAACGGGUCUGUGAUGCCCUUAUAUGUCCUGGGCCGCACGCGCGCUACACUGAUACUUUCAUCGAGUAUACAACCUUGGUUGAGAGGCCUGGGUAAUCUUUUGAAACCGUAUCGUGCUGGGGAUAGAUUAUUGUAUUUUUAAAUCUUAAACGAGGAAUUCCUAGUAAACGCUGGUCAUCAUCCAGCAUUGAUUACCUCCCUGCCCUUUGUACACACCGCCCGUCGCUUCUACCGAUUGAGUGGCUGCCCCCGCGCCC